RNAcentral lists this small RNA (68 nucleotides) under Methyloprofundus sedimenti. RNAcentral describes it as "int-alpA RNA". It matches the Rfam family "int-alpA RNA". From Rfam's summary of the family: Acidobacteria (1 example), Planctomycetes (1 example), Proteobacteria. Environment (Lake Washington) The record is from Rfam by way of RNAcentral. Lineage: Bacteria; Pseudomonadati; Pseudomonadota; Gammaproteobacteria; Methylococcales; Methylococcaceae.
AACCAGCAUAGCUCGACGGAGCGAAAAGCAGAGUCAUUACCUGCCUGGCUGGUUUCUUAUCGUAAUGG